This 62-nucleotide ribosomal RNA is filed under the name uncultured organism. RNAcentral describes it as "partial 16S ribosomal RNA". The record is from RNAcentral.
AGGGCUUGACAUGUCUGGAAUCCUGCAGAGAUGCGGGAGUGCCCUUCGGGGAAUCGGAACAC